Molecule: long non-coding RNA, 859 nt
Organism: Dromiciops gliroides (monito del monte)
Lineage: Eukaryota; Metazoa; Chordata; Mammalia; Microbiotheria; Microbiotheriidae
Exons: 8
Source: RefSeq, a predicted model, not a curated record
CUCUUGCAAUGAAGGGGGAAAAAACAACACUUCAGCACCACUCCCUCUUAUUUACAUAGGAAUGCCAGGCCUACCUUUUCCAGUUCAUAGGAACAGUCGCCUACAUUUGAAACUACUGCCUUGAAGAAAAUAUUCUACUGCCAGACUAAAAUACGACAUCUUAAGAAUAUGGAGCUGAUCUGGAAGAAAAAACAAACAAACAACUGAACAGUCCCAGGAAGACAGAACCUCAUUGAUUAAGGGGAGAUUUGGAAUAUGCAGUUGAACCUCAGUUCUGUGACAAGGAGUCCCGGUCAACAAACUUUAUAGGAAUGAGAAAUUCAUCUGGGAUUAGUACCCCCAAAGACCUGCAGCCGUCAGUGUCUGAGUGAUUAGAUGCCUCUACGAGUGAAAGAGUGGUUCUCAGGAAGAACAGGUAAAACCUGGUAUACAUUAGCUUUUGAGGACUUGGGAGCUGCCAUCAUCUGGGUGGAAGGACAAAGUCAAAAGGAGCUUUUAGGACCUACCUACAACAAAUCGAGGGUCACUUUAAAUAAAUUGGUUUCUUCAAAUCCAAUGGUGAAAUGACUCCAGAAGUUGACAAGCUGCUCACUUAGGUGAGGCAACUGAAGCAGAAAGAACUUCCAGACACCUACCCAGCUAUGAUUUGGAACAGGACUAGAACCUAUUAUUUUUUCCACUUUGGUCCAGUCUGAAGGAAAUAUUCUACACUGAGGUUCUUCACCUAAGGUGACAGACAGCCUUGUGAACUUCUAAAAAUCUACAGUAUCUACCAGCGCUGAUAGCCAUGCCCCUCAGAACCACAGUGGUGGAAGGCAGUGUAUGUGUUAGCUGUCAUAUACCAUGAGAACAAACUGGA